This 370-nucleotide long non-coding RNA is filed under the name Homo sapiens (human). RNAcentral describes it as "HSALNT0222501". Lineage: Eukaryota; Metazoa; Chordata; Mammalia; Primates; Hominidae. The record is from RNAcentral.
GUUCAGGCCAUGGAAAGACUACAGGAGACAUGAGGGGAAGUCUGCAGGGGGACUUUUGAGAAACGUUUCCUCACUUCUAAUAAAUAGCUCAGGAAAAUAUGGUUUCUCUUCUUUGUCCAGCUGUGAUGCCUGGGAACUUCUGUGGCAACCUUGCUUCCAGCCAAUACACAGAGUGGGGCAACUCUCAGAAAACCAUUGAGAAGAGAGUCAGAGUGCUGAAGUACCGUGUCUGGAAUCCUGUCUUCCCAACUCCGUGUUUCCUGAUCUAUCAGGAUAUGAGAAGAUGACAGUCUGCAACCCAGAAGAGAACCCUCACAGAACCUGACCAUGCCGGCACCCUGAUCUCAGGUUUCCAGCCUCCAGAACUGUG